GUAGGUCCCGAGCGUUAUCCGGAUUUAUUGGGCGUAAAGCGAGCGCAGGCGGUUAGAUAAGUCUGAAGUUAAAGGCUGUGGCUUAACCAUAGUACGCUUUGGAAACUGUUUAACUUGAGUGCAGAAGGGGAGAGUGGAAUUCCAUGUGUAGCGGUGGAAUGCGUAGAUAUAUGGAGGAACACCGGUGGCGAAAGCGGCUCUCUGGUCUGUAACUGACGCUGAGGCUCGAAAGCGUGGGGAGCAAACAGGAUUAGAUACCCUGGUAGUCCACGCCGUAAACGAUGAGUGCUAGGUGUUGGGCCCUUUCCGGGGCUUAGUGCCGCAGCUAACGCAUUAAGCACUCCGCCUGGGGAGUACGACCGCAAGGUUG
This 370-nucleotide ribosomal RNA is filed under the name uncultured bacterium. RNAcentral describes it as "bacterial SSU rRNA". It matches the Rfam family "Bacterial small subunit ribosomal RNA", at positions 527 to 896 of the family's 1533-position model. The record is from RNAcentral.